This 253-nucleotide ribosomal RNA is filed under the name uncultured bacterium. Its description in RNAcentral is "partial 16S ribosomal RNA". It matches the Rfam family "Bacterial small subunit ribosomal RNA", at positions 524 to 776 of the family's 1533-position model. The record is from RNAcentral.
UACGGAGGGUGCAAGCGUUAUCCGGAUUUACUGGGUUUAAAGGGUGCGUAGGUGGGUUGGUAAGUCAGUGGUGAAAUACUUUCGCUUAACGAAGGAACUGCCAUUGAUACUAUCAAUCUUGAAUGUAGUGGAGGUAGGCGGAAUGCGUCAUGUAGCGGUGAAAUGCAUAGAUAUGUCACAGAACACCAAUUGCGAAGGCAGCUUACUAAAGUAUGAUUGACGCUGAGGCACGAAAGCGUGGGGAUCAAACAGG